This 1269-nucleotide long non-coding RNA is filed under the name Cottoperca gobio. Its description in RNAcentral is "lncRNA (ENSCGOG00000007417.1)". The record is from RNAcentral. Lineage: Eukaryota; Metazoa; Chordata; Actinopteri; Perciformes; Bovichtidae.
CACAAAAGUCCAAUUGUGCAAGGUGAAUCUCAAACAGUUGGACAUUAUCUUUCUAAUUCAAAGCUUUUCUCGUCUAAUUUUUAUUUCCUUGGGAUCGACUAGAUGUAGUGUUUUUCUGAGGCUGCAGAUGCUGUACUGUACAAAGUGAGUCUGUCUGUUUGCAGAGAGCAUAACCGCAGCGCACAGGACCAUCAAACGUACCAAGGAUGGGUUGAAACCAUGGAGCAAAUAUAUAACAACAUGCAUAACCUUACAAGGAGACAAUCCGUCGAUUCAGACUCGCAGUCUCUAACAGACGCUGGUGCAGCACUUCUCUACACCAUGAAGCACAGCAACAGGAAGUCCAUCUCACUGAAGAAUAAACAUCAACUCUAGCCAACUGUCAGCCUCCACAGUCAUGAAUGAAACGGAUACAAAUUCUGCCAUUUGACUAUCUGGCCGAAUGAAUAUCCCUCAAAUAUUUCAUAAUUUAAAUAAUAUAUAUAACUGACUCAGACGCCAUCAUGCAGCUAACACCUAGAUCCUUGUGUGUCAGCAAAACACAUCUCACAACACAUAAACCUCCAACACAACUGUUAAUAUAGUUCUGAUUAUGUAAUUGUGUUUUAAUAGAUGUAACUUGACAGAAAAAGCGUCAGUUUCUAUGUGUUAAUGUUUAAAAGCUGCUAAAGGGAGUGAGCAGUGGAGUACAUACAGGAUAAGACUAACAGUAAUCCUGCCUGAGAUGGAAGCUGAAGCAUCACCAGACCUGCGUUUCAACAUGUGACGCUGAGCAUGGGGCAUUAUUCAGCGCUGGCAGGUUCCAGGAAACAUACACAAACCAGGCUUCAAUCAGAAUACGCAGGCUGAUGCCGAGCAGGUGAAAGCCUACUGUGCCUCUGUCUGUGGAAACAACCUGGACCUCCAGCUACCGGACAGAGAGGAUAACCAGCACGUAGAGGACCAUCAUAGGUUUGUUGAAGCAGAUCCCUGCUGCCGUUGCAUGUGAAGUCAGCCUCCCGUUUGCUAAAAGGGCAGCUCAGCCAGGAAGAGGAUCACCAGGAAGCCCAACCACAGAGAGCGACACUUCGAGGUGGCGGAGGCGUCCACCCACCGCGCGUCCGCAGGAUGGGGGGGGACGAGGCCUGUUACUAUGGCAGCCAUCGUCACGCCUGGCCUGGAGUUCGUCUUUUCAACAGGAAAGAAAAUGCAGUUUCUAAAUGUUGUUAUAAAUAUCAAUAUAUUGCAAGGUCUAUCAUUUUCUCUGCCCUGUACAAUAAAUGAUUUCUU